UAACUAUGUGCCAGCACCCGCGGUAAUAUGUAGGGNGCGAGCGUUUUUUUGAAUUNUUGGGNGUAAAGAGUGCGCAGGGGGUUUUUUAAGNCUGGGGUGAAAUAUCCCGGCUCAACCUCGGAAAUGCGCUUGUGACUGCAAGGCUAGAGUNUGGCAGAGGGGGGGGGAAUUNCCCGUGUAGCGGUGAAAUGCGUAGAGAUAUGGAGGAACACCCCUGGCGAAAGCGCGCCCCUGGGCCAAUACUGACNCUCAGGCACGAAAGCGUGGGGAGCGAACAGGAUUAGAUAC
RNAcentral lists this ribosomal RNA (288 nucleotides) under uncultured bacterium. RNAcentral's name for it is "partial 16S ribosomal RNA". It matches the Rfam family "Bacterial small subunit ribosomal RNA", at positions 498 to 785 of the family's 1533-position model. The record is from RNAcentral.